GUAUAUGAGGGCAAACCAGCUGAAACACCUUCCACACCAGUGAUUGCCAGGGUUGAUUCAGUGAUCUGGAUGGCUUGGAAGCUGUUCCCUUCUUCCUCACCACUCCAUGUGUGUCCUUGUCUUACAGAAGAGAACUGGUCUUAGUUCAAAGACAUACAGAUAGCUACCCUUCUCCACUAGAAUCUCCAAACAGCUCUCAAGAGUCAUUANUGGAAUAAGCAAUUAAAUGGAUACAACUAGUAUCCAUU
Molecule: small nuclear RNA, 248 nt
Filed under: Neotoma lepida (desert woodrat)
Lineage: Eukaryota; Metazoa; Chordata; Mammalia; Rodentia; Cricetidae
Description: 7SK RNA
Rfam family: 7SK RNA
About the family: 7SK was discovered as an abundant small nuclear RNA in the mid-70s but a possible function has only recently been suggested. Two independent studies have found that 7SK RNA binds the CDK9/cyclin T complex (known as elongation factor P-TEFb). P-TEFb activates transcription by phosphorylating the C-terminal domain of RNA polymerase II.
Source: Rfam by way of RNAcentral